This 425-nucleotide long non-coding RNA is filed under the name Vigna radiata. RNAcentral describes it as "long non-coding RNA (VRAD_LNC004676)". Lineage: Eukaryota; Viridiplantae; Streptophyta; Magnoliopsida; Fabales; Fabaceae. The record is from RNAcentral.
CAUGUUCUAAUGAAAAUAAAACAAAAAACCGAAAAAGAAAAUUGUUCUAAAAAAUACAAAAAUUGAUUUCCAUCAAGUUCAACUCUUUUUCUUCACGUUGGGAUCUUCAUCGUCCCACNGGCUCACUUUUCUUCGGUCCACCUUCUUGAUCACUGUUGAAUAUGGUCUUUGAAUUUCCACCACUCCUUUUUCCUUCAGCUCCUUAAUUAUCCAUUCCUUUUUCUUAAAUCUCACUUUGCUCCCGGUAGGAAUGGAUCUUCUUUUGGUUUUGGGUGAAUGGUUCUUCUCCCUUUAUCCUCAGGCACCUACAAAACACAACAAUUGUCAUAAUAAUCAUUACCUGCUAUGCUCUCUUCUUAUUCUUCAUUCAUCUCUAGCUUCUCGAAUGUUUUUCUUUUUACUGUUUUGAUCUCAUCCCCUUCACG